GAUUACCUUGGACAGAUCAAGACUUAUCAGGGCAAAACAUACUAUGUUGGGCUUGGUGAUACAAAAGGAAAGACUAACGUGUCAGAGGUUUUCAAGCAUUGCUGCGAGCUUGGAUUUCGACUUUGGGAGCCUCAAAGUGUAAAUGAAGUGACGUAUAUCCCACAAAUAGUUUCUGUACUGAACACUGUUUUGGUGGGCGAGACAGAGUCGAUAAACCACACGCACGAGGUGUGGUGCAACAGCCGCACCCUUGUGCCCGACUACUACUCUCUGUCCGAUAUGUGGAUGAGAUUCCCCUGCCAGACGUCCAUCGUCGGAAUCACGCAAUCGAAUCAAAAAAUUGUAGUGGCGUUCUACCCGGAAAAGAGCAUCCAAGACAUGUUCAUCAAUCCGCAGAAAUAUGAUUUGAGUUUGUUAAAUGCCUUUUCCUCUUUUGUCUGCGAAAAGGUGUGAGGAAACCAUGCUAUCAAUUUACGAGAGUUUGUUUGCAUUUUUUUGGUGGCGGGUUUCAAAAAAGUUUGUUUCGUUUGAAAAAAACCAAACUUAAAAGUUGUUUUUGUUGUCCCUUGGGUGACAAUGUUUAAUAUGCUCAGGAGGGGAUUGUUGAUGAAAAAAGUUUGUCUAAUGUUCAUUAUGCACAUAUAUGCUUAUUCAAUUAUUUCUGCAGUCCAUGCUCGGUUCCCAGAAGCAUUUAAUUCGUGCACAAGCGGGCGAGAUGUACUGGAAAGGUGGAAAGGGGUUGACACCGCUGUGUUCUGCGAGACCGUUUAUUUUUAGAGGUGCAACCUGCCUCCAGUGUUUCCCAUUUAUUUUUUCAAGGCAUUAAAAUACCCCGCCUGCUUCGAAAAGACCAGAGACGUGCAUGGGCAUUGAUGAUUUCGCAGCAAAAUCCCUUUCUAGUGUUGCAAUUAUAUGUUAUGCUUUGCCAGUUUCUCUGCGGUUUGAUCAAUUUGUCAUUGCUUCAAAAGAAUUUCUGCUUUGAUUUUUGUGUGUGCAUU
Molecule: long non-coding RNA, 998 nt
Organism: Cloeon dipterum
Lineage: Eukaryota; Metazoa; Arthropoda; Insecta; Ephemeroptera; Baetidae
Exons: 3
Source: RefSeq, a predicted model, not a curated record